Herpailurus yagouaroundi (jaguarundi) is the source of this 610-nucleotide long non-coding RNA. RefSeq lists it as uncharacterized. NCBI's taxonomy places the organism in Eukaryota, Metazoa, Chordata, Mammalia, Carnivora, Felidae. The transcript is spliced from 4 exons. The record is from RefSeq and is a predicted model, not a curated record.
CCACUGCCCUGAAAGGGACUGAUGGGGUCUGGGGCUUUUCGGGGUGGAUCCCGGGAACCCACUGUCUAUUGGAAGCCUGGAGCCUCAGGUAACUCUGGAAAACUCAGGCAAUCAAGGAACUGGAGGCUAUCCAGGGAAGACUGACAAUUAGGUUUCACUCAUAUGCCAAGGUCAAAGGAAUUCCAACAUCUGUUGCCAGCCUGCCUGUAGAACCAUGCAGUGGGCCAUAUCAACCAACCCUUGGGUAGACUCUAACUGCUGUACCCCCACACUGUCCCUUAUCAGCUUGAAGAAGCCAGAACAGUCGUCAUCCCUGUUCCCUAAGUAAAGUGGCCAGAGUGGGUCCCUGGAUUCACCACAGCAGAGUGAAGCUGGAAUCUUUAAACUGGGAGUGCAUUCCUGAUCCAUCAACGCCGUGCACACUAACCAUAUAGAAGAAGCAUUCUGCAACUCCAGAGGCUCCAGGAGACUGCAGCCCUGCUUUAGUCACUCCGGAAGCUGACUAAUCUACGCACGGCAGAAGCUUGAGGAAUCGGUGGUACAGAGGAACAAACAGACUGUCCUUCUUUUCUGUAUCUGUUUCCUUAAUGUGAUGUGCUAUUACCCCUUG